UGCCCCACUGACUGGAAAUGUUUUCUUCUAUCUUGCUGCCCCCCAAAAGUAUGGUUUCUAUUUCUAUUAUUUUAAUUCAGAAAAAAAAUAUGAGUUCAGUACAACAGAGUGUUCACCAAACUAUUAAUUCCAAAUGAGAAACUGACUAUCGCAACACCCAGUGAAGAAAGAAAAUAUUCGCAUGCUUUGGAAAGAGAGCCUAGAGACUGAAAUGGAAGAUAGGCAAUACACUCUGGGUUUGGAGCUGGGGAAGUUCAGUGGAUGUUGUGGUUGAAGUGCUUGGGAAAACUCAGCUCAGGAAGUUAUAAAAACUGGGACAUGUAAUGAAAAUACACACCCAACCAUAAUUAUAAUGCUGUUACAAGGCACUAUUAUUAAAUAAUAACUUCCAAGUGAGCUGGAUUUUGUCUCAUUCAAAAUCAUUGGUCUGAUGUAAGUCAGAGCAUUUACAGCAAA
Long non-coding RNA from Mauremys mutica (yellowpond turtle), 456 nucleotides. RefSeq lists it as uncharacterized. NCBI's taxonomy places the organism in Eukaryota, Metazoa, Chordata, Testudines, Geoemydidae. The record is from RefSeq and is a predicted model, not a curated record. The transcript is spliced from 3 exons.